Molecule: long non-coding RNA, 1116 nt
Organism: Scophthalmus maximus (turbot)
Lineage: Eukaryota; Metazoa; Chordata; Actinopteri; Pleuronectiformes; Scophthalmidae
Exons: 3
Source: RefSeq, a predicted model, not a curated record
CGUAAGUCAAAACGCUCAGUUCUUGGACAGUGCUGUGGGGUAGAGGGUCGACUAUUUGAAUUCCAGUAAACACAGGAAAUUAUUUGAGCUAAGAUGAAAGGAGAAUGACUUCAACGGCUGAAACGUCAUGAGAACAUCAUGUUCUUGUUGGAAUUACGAGGAUUAUAGCUGUGAUACAGAGGGUGGACAAAGGUUCAAUACAGUCCAGGGGCAGCUUAAAUCUACGGCUUCUCCCCGUAACACCUGUUGCUGACAGGGCCUCUGCAGUCGAGCACCCUCGGUCCCAGCAACUGCAGAAAGGCUGGCUCACCAUAUGACUGAGCCUAGAGACAACCUCAGCCCACACACUUGUGCUUCGCUUCCAGAGCGUUCUGUUCUGUAUCCCUACAGUCAAAAAAGAGACAGCCAGAUCUUUCUACAAUACAGAGAAUAACCCUGUUCCACGCUACACAUGCCAUGGCCAACUGUUGCUGGACAAAGGGACAAAACAUGUUGCCUUGGCAACACUCCGCUGAAAUAACUGCAUUGGUAGUCUCUGGGAAAAUAUCUCUCUUGUACAUUCAGCUAAUACUGGAUUUUGUGACUAAAUGCAUUUUCUGUGUGUAUUUACAGCUAAUGAAAGAUUAGACACAUUAGACUUGUAUGGCAGCACAUAGUUAUACACCCUCUCCAUCCUUCCAUAUAGUGACAGAACACAUUCUCCCUUUAUCUUGCUCGUACUGCUGCUAGGUUCUCUUAUUUUUCACCACGUGUCUCCUGCACAGAACGUUGGUGGCAGUGGUGCGUCACGUUGGGUGUUCACCAUAGGUGGGCAACCCCAAAAUCGAUUGCUCCGAGAGCUGCGAUUUCUCCCAGGCUCUUUCUAACACAUUCCAUUCCCCCAGUGCCAUGCCACAUCCUGCAGGUUGGGACCACAGCCCAUCUGGGUUUGGUUAGAGCCAAGACACAGCCAUAAAACUAGGCCAAGAGGAAAACAGAGGGGCACCUCGUCAUCUACAACCCCAACCAGUGUUCUGCGACGGGAGCUCUGAUGUGGUCUGGCACAAUGUUGCACUAGCGAAAGCUGGCAGUCUUUUGGUUUGACCUGAUGUCACUCACAAUAAAGCUUGAAACUGA